This is a long non-coding RNA of Maniola jurtina (meadow brown), 86 nucleotides long. RefSeq lists it as uncharacterized. The record is from RefSeq and is a predicted model, not a curated record. The transcript has 2 exons. NCBI's taxonomy places the organism in Eukaryota, Metazoa, Arthropoda, Insecta, Lepidoptera, Nymphalidae.
UAAGACCUACCUACCUGAAAAUUUCAUGAUUCUAGGUCAAUAGGAAGUACCCUCUAGGUUUUUUUUGACAGACACGACGGACCGAC